This 253-nucleotide ribosomal RNA is filed under the name uncultured bacterium. RNAcentral's name for it is "partial 16S ribosomal RNA". It matches the Rfam family "Bacterial small subunit ribosomal RNA", at positions 524 to 776 of the family's 1533-position model. The record is from RNAcentral.
UACGUAGGGGGCUAGCGUUGUCCGGAAUCAUUGGGCGUAAAGCGCGUGUAGGCGGUCCGGUAAGUCCGCUGUGAAAGUCGGGGGCUCAACCCUCGGAUGCCGGUGGAUACUGUCGGGCUUGAGUACGGAAGAGGUGAGUGGAAUUCCUGGUGUAGCGGUGAAAUGCGCAGAUAUCAGGAGGAACACCAAUUGCGAAGGCAGCUCGCUGGGACGUUACUGACGCUGAGACGCGAAAGCGUGGGGAGCAAACAGG